This 400-nucleotide ribosomal RNA is filed under the name uncultured bacterium. RNAcentral's name for it is "partial 16S ribosomal RNA". It matches the Rfam family "Bacterial small subunit ribosomal RNA", at positions 355 to 769 of the family's 1533-position model. The record is from RNAcentral.
UGGGGAAUAUUGCACAAUGGGGGAAACCCUGAUGCAGCGACGCCGCGUGAAGGAAGAAGGUUUUCGGAUUGUAAACUUCUAUCGAUGGGGAAGAAAAAAAUGACGGUACCCAAGUAAGAAGCCCCGGCUAACUACGUGCCAGCAGCCGCGGUAAUACGUAGGGGGCAAGCAUUAUCCGGAAUUAUUGGGUGUAAAGGGUGCGUAGGUGGUAAAUUAAGUCAGGAGUUAAAGACCUGGGCUCAACUCAGGGGGUGCUCUUGAAACUGAUUUACUAGAGUGCAGGAGAGGAAAGCGGAAUUCCUAGUGUAGUGGUGAAAUGCGUAGAUAUUAGGAGGAACACCGAUGGCGAAGGCAGCUUUCUGGACUGUAACUGACACUGAGGCACGAAAGCGUGGGUAGC